GAUGAACGCUGGCGGCGUGCCUAAUACAUGCAAGUCGAACGAGGUGCUUUUGUAGCAAUACGAGAGUAUCCUAGUGGCGAACGGGUGAGUAACGCGUUGGUGACCUACCCAAAGUGUGGGAUAACAGUCCGAAAGGAUUGCUAAUACCGCAUGUGGUCUUCGGGUUUAGAAACUGAUGACUAAAGGAGCAAUUCGCUUUGGGAGGGACCUGCGUCCCAUCAGCUAGUUGGUGAGGUAAUGGCUCACCAAGGCUACGACGGGUAGGGGACCUGAGAGGGUGACCCCCACAAUGGAACUGAAACACGGUCCAUACACCUACGGGUGGCAGCAGUAGGGAAUAUUGCACAAUGGGCGAAAGCCUGAUGCAGCAACGCCGCGUGUGCGAUGAAGGCCUUGGGUCGUAAAGCACUUUUCUGGGAGAUGAGCAAGGACAGUAUCUCAGGAAUAAGUCUCGGCUAACUACGUGCCAGCAGCCGCGGUAAU
This 483-nucleotide ribosomal RNA is filed under the name uncultured bacterium. RNAcentral describes it as "bacterial SSU rRNA". It matches the Rfam family "Bacterial small subunit ribosomal RNA", at positions 28 to 524 of the family's 1533-position model. The record is from RNAcentral.